Rattus norvegicus (Norway rat) is the source of this 1754-nucleotide long non-coding RNA. RefSeq lists it as uncharacterized. Lineage: Eukaryota; Metazoa; Chordata; Mammalia; Rodentia; Muridae. The record is from RefSeq and is a predicted model, not a curated record.
GUUGGUAAGUAGCGGCAGAGAGGCCACGGUCAACCGCAAGCUCCUCUCCUCCAAGAGAAACAAAUGGUUUCAAGGGGUCUGGGUCAGGCCGGAAUGAGAUGUGCUGAGCUGAGCUGGAUGAAAAUGUGCUGAGCAGAUCCGCCAGCUGGCCAUGCGGACCAUCGGGGGAAGGGCCUGGCAGGAAGCACUAGCCAGCACAGGGCAGGCACCCUCCCAGCUUCUUCUCUGCCUUUUACUCUAAGUGGGUCCCUCUGGACACCAUUCCCAGCAGCUGGCUAGUCCUUUCCCCUUUCUGUGACAUCCAGAGCCCUCUGUCUCCUCUGACUAUGGGCAUUUCUCUUUCUCUGUCCCUUCACCACCUGUGCCCUCUCCAAGUUCAUCGUCGGACUCCUUUCUGGGACUUGGCUUGGAACAACGCUGCCUCGCUGUCACUUCCUAUCAGACCGAUUGGCUCUUGACUUCUCAGAGAUGCCUGAAUUCUGGGAGAGGAGCAGAGCCCUGCCUCAAGGGUGAGAACUACUGCUUUUAAGAAGCCCUCAGAACUCUCCUGGACCAGAAACACAGAAGCCAAUCAGUGGAUGAGGAGAGGAAGAAACCUCUAAGACAUCAUUCAGAGACUCUUGAAGACUUCCUUCUGUAUGCCAACACUCUGAAGAGCAUCAUUCACCACUGUCACUCCCACCCAAAAGAAACAAUUCCCAGUAUCUAUCUCUUUCAAAGCAAGAGAGAGAAGCCAGUAAGCUUCGCCGCACCCAAAGCCACACCUUGUGGCAAUGAAGCAAGCAGAUCUUAGAAGUGGUCACUGUCCUUGGAGUAAGAGACCUAUCUCCAGGACCUAUUCAUGUCUUCCAGGUAACAUAUACAUAUGUGUAUACACUCAUAAACUUGCACAUACCAACACACACACACACACAUACAUUCACACACACACACAAACAUAUACAUUCACACACACACAAACAAACAUAUACAUUCACACACACACAAACACAUACAUUCACACACACACACAAACACAUACAUUCACACACACACACACACACACACACACACACACACACAUUUACACACACCAGCAACAGCAGCAGCGGCAGCAGCAGCCCAUACGCCCCAAAUGAAAAGAGCCCAUGCAAGAGAGGAGGAAAUGCCCUUUAUGUCUACAGGCUGCCUGCAGCAAAAGCAUGCCUAAAUGCAAUAGGUUAAAUAUAUUGCUGCCAUUACACUCUGCAAGAAACACAUUCCAUAAAAAGGAAGGUGCUGUAAAUUAUACAAAUAUGAUGCUAACAAGCCAGGAAACGCUCCGCUAAUGAGGUCAGCUACAGAACUCCUGCAGCGCUGCAAAUCAUCUGCCAAUCCUGCACAUGAGGUACCAGAACAGCAUUGGGUCAGCAUUUUCUGAGCGGGCUUGUAACCUGCUGUUUGGUGUAUGGUUACACAGGUAGAUAAAAGGCCUCCGCAUCUCCCCCUGCCCACGCCGCCCUCCCAAGUUUAUUUGUGUGUCAAAUAUCCAAGUCACCAGAUGAGCGUGCUCUGCAUUAACGCACCUGACUAUUACGCCCAUUGUUCUCCUGCUCAGAGUGGAGAAUUAGUCACUCAGAUGUGUAAAUAUUGGUUACAGUUUUGAAGCAUGCAAGCUUUCUGUUUCUAUCGGCCCCAUUCCUGGAGGAAUUAUGCAUGCUGUUGGCACCGGGUUUUGUACACACUGUAUUUGCUAAAGCUCUAAAAAUCAAAUAAACAUGUUCUCGGCUCCUGAA